This 498-nucleotide ribosomal RNA is filed under the name uncultured bacterium. RNAcentral describes it as "partial 16S ribosomal RNA". It matches the Rfam family "Bacterial small subunit ribosomal RNA", at positions 29 to 523 of the family's 1533-position model. The record is from RNAcentral.
AUUGAACGCUGGCGGCAUGCUUUACACAUGCAAGUCGAACGGUAACAGGCCGCAAGGUGCUGACGAGUGGCGAACGGGUGAGUAAUGCAUCGGAACGUGCCCAGUCGUGGGGGAUAACGCAGCGAAAGCUGUGCUAAUACCGCAUACGAUCUAUGGAUGAAAGCGGGGGACCGUAAGGCCUCGCGCGAUUGGAGCGGCCGAUGUCAGAUUAGGUAGUUGGUGGGGUAAAGGCCAACCAAGCCCACGAUCUGUAGCUGGUCUGAGAGGACGACCAGCCACACAGGGACUGAGACACGGCCCAGACUCCUACGGGAGGCAGCGGUGGGGAAUUUUGGACAAUGGGCGCAAGCCUGAUCCAGCAAUGCCGCGUGCAGGAAGAAGGCCUUCGGGUUGUAAACUGCUUUUGUACGGAACGAAAAGGUCUGGGUUAAUACCCUGGGCCGAUGACGGUACCGUAAGAAUAAGCACCGGCUAACUACGUGCCAGCCGCCGCAGUAA